CUCUCCUGUCCUCCAGUGCCACCGCAUCCACCGGUCACUCGCCAGCCAGUUCAAGGCACCAGCACCAAGUACAGUCCGCAGCGGGUGGGCCUGACCCACACCAUGGAGCAUGAGGACGUCAUCCAGAUCGUGAAGAAGUAACGGCGCCUGCCGGGCCUCCCGCCCACCUGCCUCGUCUCCCUGGGGAGGUGGUCCCACUGGGACACACAAACACCCAAACAGAAAAAUACAAAUACACGUACCCCAGGAAGGGGUCCCUCAAGUCUCUGCUAUUUACAGAAGUUUCUUCAGUAGGCAGACGAAGAGUGUGUUGGGGCAAAGGGGCUCGGUUGGAGGCAUUUCCCAUAAGACUGAGCCCUCUCAUGGGGGUUUUGAGUUUGUAGUGCUGAGCCUGCAUCUGUGCCUCCCAGCCCCCUGCACUGAGGGAGCAAGUUGCCCACAUGCCCGCCAGCCAGGGCCUAAAGCAGAUGGCAUGCUCAGUGCCAGGCUGGUAGCUGGGCCUGUUUGGGUCCCUGGAGGCUGUGGCUGCUGUCAUGGCACCUCACUCCCUCAGCUCUUGCCAGCUUCUCUGACACUUGGGUUGGGGGCCCUUCCAGGAGGAAACCCCCUUGGGUGCCCCACACAGGGCUCUCCAUGAUGGGAACCAGUGGUUAGUGGCUUCAAAGGCCCAGCUGACACCCUCCACAGCCUAAGGGGUGUCCUAAAGUGCCUCCCCCUGUAUUCCCCCUCCCAGGGCAGCCCCUGCCCAGCACAAAACCCCAGGACCCUGGCUCUGCACGCCUGGGGCAGGGACUUUUGAGUUUAGGAUCUGUAUUUUCUAAGUCCCCAGUUCUCCUGGCUCUCCUUUCUGAAAUAAAGGAUUGAAAACGGU
RNAcentral lists this long non-coding RNA (871 nucleotides) under Homo sapiens (human). Its description in RNAcentral is "HSALNT0238107". Lineage: Eukaryota; Metazoa; Chordata; Mammalia; Primates; Hominidae. The record is from RNAcentral.